CCUACGGGUGGCAGCAGUGAGGAAUAUUGGUCAAUGGACGAGAGUCUGAACCAGCCAAGUAGCGUGAAGGAUGACUGCCCUAUGGGUUGUAAACUUCUUUUAUAUGGGAAUAAAAUGUUCCACGUGUGGGAUUUUGUAUGUAACAUAUGAAUAAGGAUCGGCUAACUCCGUGCCAGCAGCCGCGGUAAUACGGAGGAUCCGAGCGUUAUCCGGAUUUAUUGGGUUUAAAGGGAGCGUAGGUGGAUUGUUAAGUCAGUUGUGAAAGUUUGCGGCUCAACCGUAAAAUUGCAGUUGAAACUGGCAGUCUUGAGUACAGUAGAGGUGUGCGGAAUUCGUGGUGUAGCGGUGAAAUGCUGAGAUAUCACGAAGAACUCCGAUUGCGAAGGCAGUUCACUGGACUGCAACUGACACUGAGGCUCGAAAGUGUGGGUAUCAAACAGGAUUAGAUACCCGGGUAGUC
This 460-nucleotide ribosomal RNA is filed under the name uncultured bacterium. RNAcentral describes it as "partial 16S ribosomal RNA". It matches the Rfam family "Bacterial small subunit ribosomal RNA", at positions 338 to 795 of the family's 1533-position model. The record is from RNAcentral.